This is a long non-coding RNA of Humulus lupulus (European hop), 1770 nucleotides long. RefSeq lists it as uncharacterized. Lineage: Eukaryota; Viridiplantae; Streptophyta; Magnoliopsida; Rosales; Cannabaceae. The record is from RefSeq and is a predicted model, not a curated record. The transcript is spliced from 4 exons.
UAAUUACCAUUUAUUUGAUAUAGUUGAGUAAUUUAAUUUAAAUAAAAAAAAUAUAAUAAAAGAGGAAAAGGAAAGGUGAUGGAUGGUUUGGUGUAGGAAAAGGAAAUGACUUAUUUCCUUUAUAUUUUUUUUCAAUCAAUUAGACAUGAUUUUGGGGAAUUAUAGUUAAUAUUGGGUAAGGGAAAUUUGACAAUUUUAAUUCAAUAAAAUCGCUCUUUAUUAUAAAGGAUUUUUAGGCUUAAUUAGAUGAGUGGAUUAGGGAAAUUACCAUCUAUUUUGGGUGGGGCUUUAUGAGGAAAAUAGGAAUUAAAAAGGGGACAUGAAGGAAAAGAGGCCAUUUGGCCGUGACCUAGAGAGAAGAUAGAGAGAUAGAGAGUGGCGUGCUAGAGAGAAGGGGCUGCCAUUUCUAGAGAGAAGGAGGAGAAGAAAGAAAAGAAGAAGAAGAAGAAGGGUUCAAGCUAGGAACUCCUAGGGUUUGAGCAAGGAGGUGCUUCUAGAUUGGAUUCUUGAUUUCUAUCAAGAGAGAAAUGGCCUCCCCCAAUGUUUUCGACUUAUACCAGACUCAGGAGGAGGAGGAGGUCCCCCUGGUCCGACGAAAGAAAUCGACCAGGAGACACGACAACGAAUCUAGCCAAGCACCCUCGGCCAAGAAAGGUCGAGCAGCUGAUCUUCCCAAGGAUGGGCCCUCUGGCCAACCUUCUGCUCAAACACCUGCCUCUACUGAGAAGGAGGCCCCACCUGCCGCCACCAAUUCUCCUCCUGCGGUUCAAAAAGAACAGGCUCAACAAGCUGAACUUCCUGGGACCAGAAUCUCCAGCCGUUCCCUGCGAUCAGCUAAAGAUCUCCUUACUCACAUCCUAAAGCAUGAGUGUUGCAAGGAGGCAAUGGCUGAGGCUGAAAACAUGGGGGUCGAUCAGAUCCUCAACAGGGCUCUUAACGAAGUAGCCAGUGCCAUGCUAACAAUGACCGCGGCUCGUAUCGUACUAGCGCUAGCAUUGAGCAGUCUCGGGCGAAGGUCAUCGAGGAGCUUCAGGCCGCAGAGGCUAGGAAUGUUGGGGAGUUGGAGGUGGUCACCCAGCAGAAGCUAGGCAUGCUGGGGAGUUGGAGGUGGUCACCCAGCAGAAGGAUGCUUUGGUGGCAGAACUGGCAGAGAAGCAAGCUUCUCAGGAAAUUCUCAGGAAGCAGAGGGAUGACUACUUGGAGUCCAGCCGAAUCCAAUGACGUGAAGUCAAGAAACUUAGGGAGGAGCAUCUCGCUAAGGACGCGACCAUUGCUGUUCUCAAAAUCCAGGUGGAACAGCUUAAGCUCACCAAUUCCAAGGACCUGGAGAGGUAUAAGAAUGCGACACUUCGGUGUUUCUACGAUUUUCGGAAACACAACUAGAGUGCCGAUUUCAGUUACCUCCCAGAAGACGCCAGGAAGGUCGAGCUAGCCCGCUAUUCUGCUCAAUUAGCUGCCGAAGAGAGAGCUAGGGUCCCUGCUUCCCCAAGCAUUCAACCAGCCGCCGAAGUGGAGGGAGGAGAAGUUGGAGGGGACGUAGUCGAGCAAAAUGAUCCAACAGAUCCUCCUGCUCCUCAAGCUCCUUAGAGUUUUUUGUUCUUUUACUUUUCUUUAAUUACACGACCUAUGGAUCGUGAUGAAAGACUAAAUUUUUCUUUUUAAUUUUGCUGCAUGGGCAGCAUAUUUUCCUUUUACUUUGAACAAUUACAUCCAAGCAGUACUGCUUGCGGUGUAAAAGAAUUCCUUUUGAUAUUAAAAUAUUUCUGCUUA